GGUGCGGCCAGCAGGGCCAGGGCAGUGACUGUCACCCUGUACUGGGCACUGGUGAGACCACACAUCACAUCCAGCAUCCAGUCUGGGGCCCCUCAGGACAGGCAGGACACUGAGGGGCUGGAGCAGGUCCAGAGAUGGACAAUGGAGCUGGGGAAGGAGCACAGCCCUGAGGAGGAGCAGCUGAGGGAGCAGGGGGAGCUCAGCCUGAAGAAAAGGUGCCUGGGGAACUCCUUGCCUGCUACAAAGCACCUGGAAGGCGGCUGUAGAGUUCUUCAGGACUCCUCAGUAAGACAAGACAGCCCAGCAGGAAUCAGCACAAUCCUGUCCAUGCUGUGAAGUUUUCCCUUAUAUUUUAUAAAAUUACCGCUACUACCCUGCACCUCAGAGCACAGCACAUAAAAAUGCUUCCCAAUAACAAUACUUCCUUUCAAAUUCCUGAAAGACCUUAACCACCAGAGAGAAAUUCCCUAUGGAGCUGGAAUUGAAUUUUGCUUAGAGAAAGCAAUUCAAGGAGGCAAAUGAUUAAAGCUCAUCUCCAUUUGUGCCACUGUGAGCUGUCCUCCAAGUCACAGACUGAACACGGUCACUGCAUGUGACCCUUCUGCAAAAAAAAGAUCCCUGAGGAAAACACAGAUGAUGUCAAUCCACGAGCUCAUUAAACAGCAGUCAAUUAGAACUCGAGUCAGCUAGAACCCAAACCUUAAAACAUCACUAUCUUCACUCCUUAAAGAAACCAGCCAUGAAAUGAAAAAUGAACUAACUAUCAGUGGAACAUGCUUUUCUUUCAAGACCAGAGCACAAUAAUUUGGUAAAAAACCCAUCUGCCGAAUGGAAUCCAGUAGCAAACAGUUCAGAGGUUCACACCAGGAGUCCUAAGUGAAUUCAGAAAGCUCUCAGCACCCAAAGGCCUCCAUGACAACCCAUCCACCUCCUCCAGCAAAACCACAAGGCUGAGGUUUCACAUUCUGGGGCGACUGCGCGGCAUUUUUGUGUGGGGUUAUUUUUCAAUUGGAUCAGUUCCCCACACAGCUGCAGGCUCAGCUGUGCCAGCACAAAGAAAGCAACCCGCAGACACGAGGGUGCCACCAAGGGCAUGCCCAGGCAACAAAAGGCUUGGGAACCUCCGAAACAAUCCAGCAGCUGGGAAUAGCUGCCUUGUCAAAAGAGAGAGGAGGAAGAGUCAGAUCAGAGUUAAGAAAAUUCUACUGAGGAAAUGAAAUAGUUUUCACCAGGAGGAGUCAACAUUCCCAUUUUAGGAAAUCCCAAAGCCAAAUUCUGAUCAGUCACGAUCAAUACAAGGAAAGCUGAGCAUAGAAACCACUCUGAACAUACAGGCAAAGCUGAAACCAAUUCAAUCUGCAAUCUUGGUGAUAAGUGUCUCAAUAAUAGUGUCUCACUGGAUUCAAAAUCUGCAAAAAAGGCUGAUCCCUUGUGUAGGACCUUCUCCUAAUAGCAGCAGAGUGCUGAUAACACAGCAACUCCAAUCCAUGGCCACAGAGAAAAGCCUUUAGCUAUCAACAGAAUUCAAAUUUAUUCCAAUUUGGAAAACUGCAACCUGCAGAGCAGCCUCAGAUCUUUUAAAGGCUAGCAGUGCACUGACACUCCAGUCUAAGCUCAGGUAUAAUACUGAGAAGAAAGAACCUCAUCCAGUAACUUCUGAUGUGAACUCAAAACUUUUCUUGGAGACAAGUACUUCUUUUCAAGGAAGAAAAACAAAAGCAUAUUGAUUCUGGAAUUCAGUGGCUAGGAGUCUCAGAAUACAUACUGCACUUUGAGGGAACUACAAUAUUUAAGAGCUUUCACUAAAAAAAAAAAUAAGGUUAAAUAGACUUCAGUAUCAAAAAGGAGCCUGCCCCUCCCUGAUACCCUCUGAGCACAUGCAGCAAGGACAGUAAUAGCACCAAUAAUGUGAGUUUCAGUGAUGCAACCUGCCAUGAUUUUCUCUCAAGAUCCCUCUUAUGGUGUUUAAAUCCUAAUUCUUACAAAGAAAUGACCUACAGUCUCAGUACAUUCAGAAGAAGGUAUUAGCUACAUCAAAACACUAAAAACAUACAACAAAAUGCACCCAGCUGCACAAUCCUGCACUGACAAUGUGCUUGUGAAAAAAUGAGACAAAUAUAAAGAGAAGAAACUACCAACACAAAACCCAGAUCUGUCAUCCCAGCACUGCUUCAUCCUGACCACUGAUCCCAGUUCUACAGUUUGAAGUUUGUUCUGCUCUGCACAAACUUCAUAGCAAGCAUUUUUAAACAAAGAACACUAUCACUGCUGCCUUUAUAAAAAACACUUUAUACAUUAUAUACAAAGGUGCAUGCAUUUAUUGAAGAUAUUUAAUUAAGUAACAAGCUUUUAAGGGGAAAAAAACUGUGGAGCAUUAUACAUGCUGCUAUCUUGUGAUAUUUUAUUAAUUAUAUUGAAUUUAUUAAAUACACUGACUUGUCCAUAACUUUGACUAAAUUCAGACUACACAGAUUUAUAGUUCUGAAAACCAUGCUCCUUCAAUAUUUUACACUUCCAGAACUUCAAGACUUAAAAUCUGGGUAAAAUAUACAUUAGUGACAUCAAAACAUUCUGAACUCUCUUUUCUUUUCUAAAUCAUAUAAAACAUAGCUCUAAUGUUAUUAGAAUGCAUGAUAAUUAAAGUAACAAAAUUUGUAUCAUGCAAUGAAACUUAUUUUUACUUUAUAAUGGCACACAAACAUUCUACUUCUUUCAAAUAGCAGUAAAUUAUUUAUAGAACACCUAUGACUUUCUGCAUUGAGGGUAAUAGUUUUAUUGUCUUUCGUACUAGAGUUCAAAAAACUGUAGUGAACCGGAACAUAUGUCCCUCACUUAAUAAAAAGAACCUUAAAUUUCCCUUUUUACAUCAAUUAAAAUUCCUCCAGUAUUUUCAACUACUACUAUACUUGUUUGAAAAUACAGAUACAUUUUUUAACACUCCAUAACUAACAAGCUUUUUAGUCUUCUUGAGGCUUUUUUUACAAUUGAGAUGUGACUUCAUACAGGUAUCUAAGAAAGUAUUAAGCACUUUAAUUCAGAUUUUUAAUGGCUUAAUGUUUCUUCUUACAUUGCUGUGCUAAUGCUCUUUUACAGUUCUGGAGAACUCAUAUUUCCAACCAUCAACUGGAGUUUUUAUGCUUGUUUUUAAAACCAUACACAGAGUACAAAGCAGAUACCCCAUCAGUAAAUCCCACCUCUGAUCCACAGCAACACCUGGUCCUGUCACUCUGAAGUGUUAUCAACUCAAAAGCAGAGUUAAUACAGGUCAGCCCAUAAUCCUGGGCUGGUUUUGCUGAGCAAAAUAUGUCCAGAAGGUCACACUGCACUCACACCUAACUUCAUUAGGCUAAUGAGAAAGAGUGGUGCACAUUUUUUUGCAGAGGGGGUGGUAGAAUUUUCUUAAAACAAAACAUAAGCAUGGGAUCAGACUAUUCUUCACUAAAUUUUAGAGACAGAAUACUGCCAUUUUCCUUGCAGGUCUUCCCAUGCCUCUGGAUUUGGAAACACCAGUGGUUAUAUCCCACUCAUUGGAUGGGAUUAAGGUGCAAGACAGAUGCCUCCAUCACCCAAACCCUUCUGAAUUUACAGACUGAAUUUAGAUACCAGCAAAUUCCUCUUGAGCAGCACCAAAUCUACAUGUUUCUGACUUUAGAAAUGAAGGACCCAAGAAGCCAGUGGACCCAUAGACACAAUGCUAUCAAACAGCCCACAGCCAGCCUGAGUCACCUAGCAGUGCCCCUGAGCUCAGUUUUAACUCAUCUCCCUGUUUCUGCAUCCCAGGGAAACUCUAAACCAGCAUCUCUGUGUGUUUGGAAAAAAGCAUGGGGAGGUGGGAAGUACACAUUUUCAGGGUUGGGGUGUUGUUUGUUUUCCUACACAAACAGAUCUGCAUUCAUGUUAAAAUUAAAAAGCAAUGACAGUGAAAAAAAAGACAUCCCAUGGAAAAAAAAGUAAAUAUUCUGACCUGUUCUACCCAGCUCUCACCCACACCCCACAGAGUGCCAUCAGACACUGGGCCUGCCAGCCAACUUCAUAUUCCUACCUGAACCAGGAGUGUUUUGGUUGGGUUUUUGUUUUCCAUUAAAAAAAAAUAAUGAGAAGUAAGAAUAAAGUUGUUUUUGUAAAGAUA
This is a long non-coding RNA of Passer domesticus (house sparrow), 4129 nucleotides long. RefSeq lists it as uncharacterized. Lineage: Eukaryota; Metazoa; Chordata; Aves; Passeriformes; Passeridae. The record is from RefSeq and is a predicted model, not a curated record. The transcript has 3 exons.